RNAcentral lists this ribosomal RNA (800 nucleotides) under uncultured bacterium. RNAcentral's name for it is "bacterial SSU rRNA". It matches the Rfam family "Bacterial small subunit ribosomal RNA", at positions 8 to 821 of the family's 1533-position model. The record is from RNAcentral.
AGAGUUUGAUCCUGGCUCAGGACGAACGCUGGCGGCGUGCCUAACACAUGCAAGUCGAACGGAGUUAAGCCCUUCGGGACUUAGCUUAGUGGCGAACGGGUGAGUAACGCGUGAGCAACCUACCUUUCAGUGGGGGACAACAGUUGGAAACGACUGCUAAUACCGCAUGAAACUUAUCGGGGGCAUCCCUGAAAAGUCAAAGCUUUAUGUGCUGAAAGAUGGGCUCGCGUCUGAUUAGCUAGAUGGCGGGGUAACGGCCCACCAUGGCGACGAUCAGUAGCCGGUCUGAGAGGAUGAACGGCCACAUUGGGACUGAGAUACGGCCCAGACUCCUACGGGAGGCUGCAGUGGGGAAUAUUGGGCAAUGGGGGAAACCCUGACCCAGCAACGCCGCGUGAAGGAAGAAGGCCUUCGGGUUGUAAACUUCUUUUACCAGGGACGAAGGACGUGACGGUACCUGGAGAAAAAGCAACGGCUAACUACGUGCCAGCAGCCGCGGUAAUACGUAGGUUGCAAGCGUUGUCCGGAUUUACUGGGUGUAAAGGGCGUGUAGGCGGAGGAGCAAGUCAGAUGUGAAAUCCCGGGGCUCAACCCCGGAACUGCAUUUGAAACUGUUUCCCUUGAGUAUCGGAGAGGCAAGCGGAAUUCCUAGUGUAGCGGUGAAAUGCGUAGAUAUUAGGAGGAACACCAGUGGCGAAGGCGGCUUACUGGACGACAACUGACGCUGAGGCGCGAAAGCGUGGGGAGCAAACAGGAUUAGAUACCCUGGUAGUCCACGCUGUAAACGAUGAAUACUAGGU